This 300-nucleotide ribosomal RNA is filed under the name uncultured bacterium. RNAcentral describes it as "bacterial SSU rRNA". It matches the Rfam family "Bacterial small subunit ribosomal RNA", at positions 496 to 795 of the family's 1533-position model. The record is from RNAcentral.
GUGACCGCGGGGUCAGGGUCCGCGGUAGUAUGGAGGGUCCGUGCGUUAAUGGGAAUGACUGGGGGUAGAGCGGGCGCAGGCGGUUUGUUAAUCGAGAGGUGAAAGCCCUGGGCUAAACCUAGGAAUAGCAUUUCGAACUGGCGAACUAGAGUCUUGUAGAGGGGGGUAGAAUUCCAGGUGUAGCGGUGAAAUGCGUAGAGAUCUGGAGGAAUACCGGUGGCGAAGGCGGCCCCCUGGACAAAGACUGACGCUCAUGCACGAAAGCGUGGGGAGCAAACAGGAUUAGAUACCCGGGUAGUC